Molecule: transfer RNA, 72 nt
Filed under: Marmota marmota marmota (Alpine marmot)
Lineage: Eukaryota; Metazoa; Chordata; Mammalia; Rodentia; Sciuridae
Also listed under: 1 other name
Rfam family: tRNA
About the family: Transfer RNA (tRNA) molecules are approximately 80 nucleotides in length.
Source: Rfam by way of RNAcentral
CUGGGUGUAGCUCAGUGGUAGAGCACCUGCUUAGCAUCUGUGAGGCCCUGGGUUCCAUCCCCAGCAUCCAAG